RNAcentral lists this non-coding RNA (46 nucleotides) under Mytilus galloprovincialis (Mediterranean mussel). It matches the Rfam family "Histone 3' UTR stem-loop". From Rfam's summary of the family: The mRNAs of metazoan histone genes lack a poly-A tail. 3' end processing occurs at a site between a highly conserved stem-loop (modelled by this family) and a purine rich region around 20 nts downstream (the histone downstream element, or HDE). The record is from RNAcentral. Lineage: Eukaryota; Metazoa; Mollusca; Bivalvia; Mytilida; Mytilidae.
ACAAAGGUCCUUUUAAGGGCCAUCAAUAUUUUUCAAAAAGAUCUAU